Molecule: ribosomal RNA, 488 nt
Filed under: uncultured bacterium
Lineage: Bacteria
Description: bacterial SSU rRNA
Rfam family: Bacterial small subunit ribosomal RNA
Source: RNAcentral
UGAGGAAUAUUGGGCAAUGGGCGCAAGCCUGACCCAGCAACGCCGCGUGGAGGAAGACGGCCUUCGGGUUGUAAAGCUCUUUUCUGAGGGAAGAAUAGGUCUGGUAGGAAAUGAUCGGAUUCUGACGGUACCUCAGGAAUAAGGAACGGCUAACUCCGUGCCAGCAGCCGCGGUAAUACGGAGGUUCCAAGCGUUGUUCGGAAUUACUGGGCGUAAAGGGAGCGCAGGCGGAUGGGUCAGUUUAAAGUGGAAUCCCAGGGCUCAACCCUGGACGUGCUUUGGAUACUGCCUGUCUUGAGUUCGUGAGAGGAAAGUGGAAUUCAGGGUGUAGCGGUGAAAUGCUUAGAUAUCCUGAGGAACACCAGUGGCGAAAGCGACUUUCUGGCACGAAACUGACGCUGAGGCUCGAAAGCAUGGGUAGCGAACGGGAUUAGAUACCCCGGUAGUCCAUGCCGUAAACGUUGUAUACUAGGUGCGGGAGGUAUCGA